Molecule: long non-coding RNA, 1701 nt
Organism: Xyrauchen texanus (razorback sucker)
Lineage: Eukaryota; Metazoa; Chordata; Actinopteri; Cypriniformes; Catostomidae
Exons: 3
Source: RefSeq, a predicted model, not a curated record
GUGGAGUCAAACAAGUUUCUGCGACAAAUGCAAUCAACAGACAUCUGCUUCAAAAAUGUUUCACUUAUCAUAAAGGAAAACACUUUCAAAAUCAUAGAGACUAACAGAGUGUAGACCACUGAUCUAUAUAUAUAUAUAACUGGAUAGCUCAUGACGUCACAACAGUGAAGCUACUGCGCCGCCAUCUUGGUAUUCCCUAACGUUCUGUAUUCCUAUGGUCUCAAUGGGAAAUCGUCUGUUUUGGUGAGUAAUUUUUACCUAUCCAAUCACAUAAAAAAUUUUUUUUAUGUCUGCAUACACUGGAUCACAAUGCAAUCUUCCUAAAUAUGUAAUUCAUUAUUUAUUUUGACUGUCAUUUUCCCCCCUGCUUAUUCUAAAUGUGAGCGUGUUAUGUUACUCUUUAUUGCAGCAGCAGUACGUUCAGCGGCGCACGUGCGCACAUGUUUCAAUAGAAACAAGUUUAAGAAACUGAGUUCAGAUAUCAGUAGACAUUUUCAAACAUAUUUUUUGCAGGCUUUAAAGUUUUUAUUCUGAAUACAUAAUUAUGUUUUGUAACUGUUGUUUACGUUGAACGUGCAUUGUGGUUAUUUUCUUAGGAUAAAUGAAUAUUAGCUAUGCAGCUAAAGUUAACUUAGGAAAAUAACCACAAUGAAUAACAGGAUAACUCACCAAGUUAGCUUUUUUGGUCAAGCUGAAUAUCUAAUUGCAGAUCAACACCGGUUACAUAUGAUAAAUAUAAUGUGGGCUUUCAUUAAUUCUCUGUGUGUGAUUUGUACUUUUUGCAGUGCAGGCCUGAAUACGGUCCAGCUCACGGGCAUCAUUUAUAAAGUGAUCAAUUGGAAUAGACGAGGAGCAGGGCUGUACUGGUAAUCUGGCCUACCGGACAUUUUUCCGGUGGACCGACGCACUUUGGGGCCAAUCAGGGUGGACUGGCCAUCGGGAGAACCGAGCGGGCUGCUGUGUCAUCUGCGAUAAGCUAAAACGAGCCGCCGCGUUAGCGAACACUCUUCCCCCAAACAAAUUUUGGGCCAGUUAUUUCAAAUCCUGUUCCGAUUUCGCUUCCCAGUCCAGCCCUGACAAGGAGCACAUGGAUAUUGUUGAAGUUAAACAAGUACAAGCUUGCCCAGAGUUUUCUUAAGCCGUUUGGAGUGUGAUGCAGCACAUGUUUCCUUGGCAAUGAAGUGGAGCCUGAUGUUUGUGCAGCUUUCUGCAAUGCACUUUGAGUAUGAAGAUGUGAUUGUUGUAUGGUUCUAGGUUGAACAUGUUUGCCUCAAGUUCCUUGAAUGCAGAACCACCAUGGAGAUCCAGAACAUUUGUGGGGACAGAGAUGGGCCUUGUGAGUGUGUGCUGUUGAAGAAAUCUCUCAGCUGUCUUGCAGACUUUCAGGACGCUGUCUGACGGUCUUAUAAAUCCACCUCAGGACUUCAUGUCGAUCAGUGUGUUCAUCUUGGGAAGAGCUCUCGACACUGAGUGCUGAUAAACAGGCUGAACGUCACUGCCUGAAAUGCCAGCAUAUCAGAAGAUGCUGCCUCCAGUGUCACUGUGCUAUCCGGUGGAGAACUGUUGCCACUAGCUCUGAUGGCAUGUCUUGCUACCAUUCUUUUGAAAGCUGAAUACAUUUACAUUUACAUUUAUUCAUUUGGCAGACGCUUUUAUCCAAAGCGACUUACAAAAGAGGAAGAACAUCAGCGAAUCAUCUUA